Molecule: long non-coding RNA, 377 nt
Filed under: Brassica rapa (field mustard)
Lineage: Eukaryota; Viridiplantae; Streptophyta; Magnoliopsida; Brassicales; Brassicaceae
Description: long non-coding RNA (BRAP_LNC007412)
Source: RNAcentral
AAAAAAGAUAAUAUUGUGAGAAAUAAACAUAAAAAUACACAUUUAAAAUCUAUAGAUCUAAAACUUACAUUUUUUAAAGGAGAAGAUGAAAACCAUGAAUCAUAAUAUCUAAAAUGACAAGAUAAUAUUGUGAGAAAGACUUGAGAAAAUUUUAGAGAGAAAGAAGAUAAUGAGAGAGAUUUAGAAACAAUUGAGAGAAUUUUAGAGAGAAGAGAGAAAGUUUUAGAGAGAAGGGAGAGAAUUUUAAAAACUUGUGCAGCCACUUUAGAGAGAGAUUGUAUAAAUUUUGUUUAUAUAGGGAGACAAAAAUGUAACUAGGUUAAAAUUUACGAUACUGUAGACUUCGUUUGAAGUCUACUAAAAUUAAAAUUUUGGAG